Oppia nitens is the source of this 503-nucleotide long non-coding RNA. RefSeq lists it as uncharacterized. NCBI's taxonomy places the organism in Eukaryota, Metazoa, Arthropoda, Arachnida, Sarcoptiformes, Oppiidae. The record is from RefSeq and is a predicted model, not a curated record. The transcript is spliced from 3 exons.
UUUUACUAUUACUAAUGUAAAUAACAUAGUUGCCAUAUCUAUUACAAACUAUCAUGACAAAAAAAGUCAUGAAAUAUCUAUACCUAUUAUUGAUGGCAUAACUGGCCAAAAGUUAUCACUGUUUACUAAUAAAUUCUAUGCCAUUGAAAAUGAAAGAACCGGUCACUAUCUGGUAUGGUAUGACAACUACCGAUUUACCGGUACAACCAAUCGGUCAUUGGAUGUCGAGUCGGACAAAAUGUGGCAUAAAUUUACAAAACAAUCAAACGGCUGGUAUCUAAUGAAACAUAAUUUUGGCUCACAUUUGAUUAGGUUGUCCAAAGUGGCCGACAAACCUGACACCGAUGACGGUGGUUAUUAUCAUAUUUAUAAUAAAAACUGUGCAAACGGUACCGUUCCCAAUGAGGAAUCACUAUUUAGAAAUUUAAUCAACUGUGCCAACUAUAAGCCUGAAAACAUUGGGUUUAAUUGGAAAUUUAUAGGCCUAGACAACUAUCUAGAUA